Molecule: ribosomal RNA, 664 nt
Filed under: uncultured Bacteroidales bacterium
Lineage: Bacteria; Pseudomonadati; Bacteroidota; Bacteroidia; Bacteroidales
Description: bacterial SSU rRNA
Rfam family: Bacterial small subunit ribosomal RNA
Source: RNAcentral
GAGGGGCAUCGGGAAGAAAGCUUGCUUUCUUUGCCGGCGACCGGCGCACGGGUGAGUAACACGUAUCCAACCUGCCCUUUACUCGGGGAUAGCCUUUCGAAAGAAAGAUUAAUACCCGAUAGCAUAAUGAUUCCGCAUGGUUUCAUUAUUAAAGGAUUCCGGUAAAGGAUGGGGAUGCGUUCCAUUAGGUUGUUGGUGAGGUAACGGCUCACCAAGCCUUCGAUGGAUAGGGGUUCUGAGAGGAAGGUCCCCCACAUUGGAACUGAGACACGGUCCAAACUCCUACGGGAGGCAGCAGUGAGGAAUAUUGGUCAAUGGGCGCUAGCCUGAACCAGCCAAGUAGCGUGAAGGAUGAAGGCUCUAUGGGUCGUAAACUUCUUUUAUAUAAGAAUAAAGUGCAGUAUGUAUACUGUUUUGUAUGUAUUAUAUGAAUAAGGAUCGGCUAACUCCGUGCCAGCAGCCGCGGUAAUACGGAGGAUCCGAGCGUUAUCCGGAUUUAUUGGGUUUAAAGGGAGCGUAGGUGGACUGGUAAGUCAGUUGUGAAAGUUUGCGGCUCAACCGUAAAAUUGCAGUUGAUACUGUCAGUCUUGAGUACAGUAGAGGUGGGCGGAAUUCGUGGUGUAGCGGUGAAAUGCUUAGAUAUCACGAAGAACUCCGAUUGCGA